CGGCAACAGCUCAAAUUUGAAAUCUGGUCCCUAGGGCCCGAGUUGUAAUUUGUAGAGGAUGCUUUUGGCAAGGUGCCUUCCGAGUUCCCUGGAACGGGACGCCAUAGAGGGUGAGAGCCCCGUCUGGUCGGAUACCGCGCCUCUGUAAAGCUCCUUCGAC
RNAcentral lists this ribosomal RNA (160 nucleotides) under Lecanicillium fusisporum. RNAcentral's name for it is "partial large subunit ribosomal RNA". It matches the Rfam family "Eukaryotic large subunit ribosomal RNA", at positions 99 to 261 of the family's 3401-position model. The record is from RNAcentral. Lineage: Eukaryota; Fungi; Ascomycota; Sordariomycetes; Hypocreales; Cordycipitaceae.